RNAcentral lists this long non-coding RNA (377 nucleotides) under Nicotiana benthamiana. Its description in RNAcentral is "long non-coding RNA (NBEN_LNC018895)". The record is from RNAcentral. Lineage: Eukaryota; Viridiplantae; Streptophyta; Magnoliopsida; Solanales; Solanaceae.
GAAGGUCGUCUGCAGUGAGAGUGACGCAUUGGUGGUCGUUUGGGACAUGAGGAAGAUGAAGAUGAUGAAGGAUUGGAUGUUCGUUGUCAUUCAUGGAUGAAAAGGGAGCUGGCGAAGGGGUCGUUUGGAGCUGAAUAAAGACGUGAGGUUGUUUGGUGUCCGUCGAGUUCUGGACAUGGUGGUGGGGUGGAGACGGGACCGUUUGGUUUGUUCAGUUUCUAAUGUAGGGGUUGGAUGGUUCGUGGAAGAUGAAGGUUGUCGUGAGGCGUAGAAUAUGGGAAGGGCAGCCAUGGCGGGGUCUGGAGAUUGGUGGUUUAGGGUUUGGGGGUGUGUGGAGAAGAUGAAGAGAAUGGGGGUGGGGUGUAAGGUGUGACGGC